RNAcentral lists this ribosomal RNA (906 nucleotides) under uncultured bacterium. RNAcentral's name for it is "bacterial SSU rRNA". It matches the Rfam family "Bacterial small subunit ribosomal RNA", at positions 66 to 1010 of the family's 1533-position model. The record is from RNAcentral.
GCCCGUGGCUUCGGCCACGAGCGGCGCACGGGUGAGUAACGCGUGGGAACCUGCCCCGGGGUGGGGGAUAACCGGUGGAAACGCCGGCUAAUACCGCAUACGGCCUUCGGGCGAAAGAUUGAUCGCCCUGGGAGGGGCCCGCGUCCGAUUAGCUAGUUGGUGGGGUAACGGCCUACCAAGGCGACGAUCGGUAGCUGGUCUGAGAGGAUGGCCAGCCACACUGGGACUGAGACACGGCCCAGACUCCUACGGGAGGCAGCAGUGGGGAAUAUUGGACAAUGGGGGCAACCCUGAUCCAGCAAUGCCGCGUGAGUGAUGAAGGCCUUAGGGUUGUAAGGCUCUUUCGGCGGGGACGAUGAUGACGGUACCCGCAGAAGAAGCCCCGGCUAACUUCGUGCCAGCAGCCGCGGUAAUACGAAGGGGGCGAGCGUUGUUCGGAAUUACUGGGCGUAAAGGGCGCGCAGGCGGUCCUUCAAGUCAGAUGUGAAAGCCCCGGGCUCAACCUGGGAACAGCAUUUGAGACUGGAGGACUUGAGGACGGGAGAGGAGAGUGGAAUUCCCAGUGUAGAGGUGAAAUUCGUAGAUAUUGGGAAGAACACCAAUGGCGAAGGCAGCUCUCUGGACCGUUACUGACGCUGAGGCGCGAAAGCGUGGGGAGCAGACAGGAUUAGAUACCCUGGUAGUCCACGCCGUAAACGAUGUGUGCUAGACGUUGGGGGACCUAGUCUCUCGGUGUCGCAGCUAACGCUUUUAGCACACGGCCUGGGGAGUAACGGCGCAAAGUUAAAACUCAAAGGAGGUGACGGGGGGCCCGCCCAAGCGGGGGGAGCGUGGGGGUUUAAUUCGACGCGAACGCGCAGAAACCUUACCAGCCCUUGGCUUGGCCCCGAACGGGGCCGAAAAAAU